This 418-nucleotide ribosomal RNA is filed under the name uncultured bacterium. Its description in RNAcentral is "bacterial SSU rRNA". It matches the Rfam family "Bacterial small subunit ribosomal RNA", at positions 355 to 787 of the family's 1533-position model. The record is from RNAcentral.
UGGGGAAUAUUGCACAGUGGGGGAAAGCCAUCGAUGCAGCGACGCCGCGUGAGCGAUGAAGUAUUUCGGUAUGUAAAGCUCUAUCAGCAGGGAAGAAGAAAGACGGUACCUGACUAAGAAGCACCGGCUAAAUACGUGCCAGCAGCCGCGGUAAUACGUAUGGUGCAAGCGUUAUCCGGAUUUACUGGGUGUAAAGGGAGCGUAGACGGCUAGGCAAGUCUGAUGUGAAAAUCCGGGGCUCAACCCCGGACUGCAUUGGAAACUGUUAAGCUAGAGUGUCGGAGAGGUAAGUGGAAUUCCUAGUGUAGCGGUGAAAUGCGUAGAUAUUAGGAGGAACACCAGUGGCGAAGGCGGCUUACUGGACGAUGACUGACGUUGAGGCUCGAAAGCGUGGGGAGCAAAACAGGAUUAGAUACCC